Chinchilla lanigera (long-tailed chinchilla) is the source of this 847-nucleotide long non-coding RNA. RefSeq lists it as uncharacterized. The record is from RefSeq and is a predicted model, not a curated record. The transcript is spliced from 2 exons. NCBI's taxonomy places the organism in Eukaryota, Metazoa, Chordata, Mammalia, Rodentia, Chinchillidae.
UCCUAGCACAAGCCUGGCUUUCCUGCACCCUGACACCCUGCCAGCUGAGUCACAGGUUUCAGGGUGUGGAUGCAGGAAACAGAGCAAAGCUCUACCCCUAACUCUGGCUGCACAUUUUUGACUUCGGUGAGCACAGGGGAGUCGGGCUGCUUACUGACUCUGUUAUGUACCUGAAGGCAAAUCAAUGAUGAAAAUGAUUCUGUAUUUGCAUGUUGCUUGUUUUUACAGAAAGAUAUUAUUGAUAAACGUGAGAAACCACAGUCACUGCAUACAAGAGGUUCUGAGGUUGGCCACACCCCGCUCAGCUGCCCUUGCCCUCGGCCUGCACUUCCUAAGGAGCAGCAGCUCUCCCGUGACCUCUGGACCAUGCCUGGACUUCUCUGCUAGAGGGCUUCCCUCUGUGCGACAUUUCGAGCCUUGCAAGGAUCAGAUCCAGAAUUGUUGGGGAGAAAAAAUAAAGUUUUUGCUGAAAUGUUGGCAAAUCUGAGAACGAACAGUAACAAACAAACUUAAGUUCUCUUUCUUGAUCUCUUCAGACAGCUGGCCCUUCUCCGCUAGCGUUUUCUCCUUGGCUUCGACCUCCGCUGUUCUCUCUGGUCAGGUAGCAAGGGCUCUUCAGGACUCUGGAUCUGUUUCCUCCAUCUUACAUUAUUCUUCCAAAAUCCCGCCCCUCCCAAAUAUCCUUCAUGUCAGUCUUUCCCUCGUCCCACGUCCCUCUAACCACGGCUACCAGGCUUCUUCCAUACGCCUGUCUAUGUUGGUGAUCCUCAAGCUUUUUCUCCCGUCCUUUGUAGUUAUAUACAUCCUUGAACAAAACGAAGUCAUUAAAAUUUACCUUGUUCCUGUU